CCUACGGGUGGCAGCAGUGAGGAAUAUUGGUCAAUGGUCGGGAGACUGAACCAGCCAAGCCGCGUGAGGGAUGAAGGUACAGAGUAUCGUAAACCUCUGUUGUCAGGGAACAAAGGCGGGGACGCGUCCCCGGAUGAGUGUACCUGAAGAAAAAGAAUCGGGUAAUUCGGUGCCAGCAGCCGCGGUAAUAGGGAGGAUGCGAGCGUUAUCCGGAUUUAGUGGGUUGAAGGGGUGCGCAGGCGGUCUGUUAAGUCAGCGGUCAAAGCCGGGGGCUCAACCUCGGCCCGCCGUUGAAACUGGCAGUCUCGAGUUGGAGAGAAGUAUGCGGAAGGCGCGGUGUAGCGGUGAAAUGCAUAGAUAUCGCGCAGAACUCCGAUUGCGAAGGCAGCAUGCCGGCUCCACACUGACGCUGAGGCACGAAAGCGUGGGUAUCGAACAGGAUUAGAUACCCUUGUAGUC
Molecule: ribosomal RNA, 459 nt
Filed under: uncultured bacterium
Lineage: Bacteria
Description: partial 16S ribosomal RNA
Rfam family: Bacterial small subunit ribosomal RNA
Source: RNAcentral